This 48-nucleotide transfer RNA is filed under the name Bos primigenius (aurochs). Its description in RNAcentral is "partial tRNA-Pro". Lineage: Eukaryota; Metazoa; Chordata; Mammalia; Artiodactyla; Bovidae. The record is from RNAcentral.
CAGGGAAUAGUUUAAAUAGAACUUCAGCUUUGGGGGUUGAUGGUGAGA